Molecule: long non-coding RNA, 260 nt
Organism: Herpailurus yagouaroundi (jaguarundi)
Lineage: Eukaryota; Metazoa; Chordata; Mammalia; Carnivora; Felidae
Exons: 2
Source: RefSeq, a predicted model, not a curated record
AAAGUUAAAAUUCAUUUCUCACGAGUUUAUUCUGGCACUUUGAUUCUUACCCAUUAGUUUUACCAGGUACUGUUUUCUAUGAUGUGCCUAAUCAGUUCAGGUAACUAAUUCAGUUACAGAGCCAUCAUUUAUCUGAAUUAAAUCUUUCAUUUCCUCUUUUUAAUGUAUCUUCAUUCUCAUUAACUUCUAUGAUAAGGAACUCAAUAUUUAUUAGAAAAGAUAUAUUUAAAAAUCUAUUAAAUUUCUACACCAUUUUUUUU